GUCCAUGCCGUAAACGUUGGGCACUAGGUGUGGGGGACAUUCCACGUUUUCCGCGCCGUAGCUAACGCAUUAAGUGCCCCGCCUGGGGAGUACGGCCGCAAGGCUAAAACUCAAAGGAAUUGACGGGGGCCCGCACAAGCGGCGGAGCAUGCGGAUUAAUUCGAUGCAACGCGAAGAACCUUACCAAGGCUUGACAUGAACCGGAAUGAUGCAGAGAUGUGUCAGCCACUUGUGGCCGGUUUACAGGUGGUGCAUGGUUGUCGUCAGCUCGUGUCGUGAGAUGUUGGGUUAAGUCCCGCAACGAGCGCAACCCUCGUUCCAUGUUGCCAGCGGGUUAUGCCGGGGACUCAUGGGAGACUGCCGGGGUCAACUCGGAGGAAGGUGGGGACGACGUCAAAUCAUCAUGCCCCUUAUGUCUUGGGCUUCACGCAUGCUACAAUGGCCGGUACAAAGGGUUGCGAUACUGUGAGGUGGAGCUAAUCCCAAAAAGCCGGUCUCAGUUCGGAUUGAGGUCUGCAACUCGACCUCAUGAAGUUGGAGUCGCUAGUAAUCGCAGAUCAGCAACGCUGCGGUGAAUACGUUCCCGGGCCUUGUACACACCGCCCGUCAAGUCACGAAAGUUGGUAACACCCGAAGCCGGUGGCCUAACCCCUUGUGGGAGGGAGCCGUCGAAGGUGGAG
This 680-nucleotide ribosomal RNA is filed under the name permafrost bacterium DT-IIK14. Its description in RNAcentral is "bacterial SSU rRNA". It matches the Rfam family "Bacterial small subunit ribosomal RNA", at positions 793 to 1467 of the family's 1533-position model. The record is from RNAcentral.